ACGAGAGGACCGGGGUGAACGAUCCACUGGUGGACCAGUUGUCGUGCCAACGGCAGUGCUGGGUAGCUAUGAUCGGACAGGAUAACCGCUGAAGGCAUCUAAGCGGGAAGCCCCCCUCAAAACAAGGUAUCCCUGAGGACCGUGGUAGACCACCACGUCGAUAGGCCGGAGGUGUAAGCGCAGCAAUGCGCUCAGCUGACCGGUACUAAUGGUCCGAUAGGCUUGAUUUGAUCCAG
Molecule: ribosomal RNA, 236 nt
Filed under: Streptococcus pyogenes
Lineage: Bacteria; Bacillati; Bacillota; Bacilli; Lactobacillales; Streptococcaceae
Description: partial 23S ribosomal RNA
Rfam family: Bacterial large subunit ribosomal RNA
Source: RNAcentral